GAUGAACGCUGGCGGCGUGCCUAAUACAUGCAAGUCGAGCGAACGGACGAGAAGCUUGCUUCUCUGAUGUUAGCGGCGGACGGGUGAGUAACAUGUGGAUAACCUACCUAUAAGACUGGGAUAACUUCGGGAAACCGGAGCUAAUACCGGAUAAUAUUUUGAACCGCAUGGUUCAAAAGUGAAAGACGGUUUUGCUGUCACUUAUAGAUGGAUCCGCGCUGCAUUAGCUAGUUGGUAAGGUAACGGCUUACCAAGGCAACGAUGCAUAGCCGACCUGAGAGGGUGAUCGGCCACACUGGAACUGAGACACGGUCCAGACUCCUACGGGAGGCAGCAGUAGGGAAUCUUCCGCAAUGGGCGAAAGCCUGACGGAGCAACGCCGCGUGAGUGAUGAAGGUCUUCGGAUCGUAAAACUCUGUUAUUAGGGAAGAACAUAUGUGUAAGUAACUGUGCACAUCUUGACGGUACCUAAUCAGAAAGCCACGGCUAACUACGUG
Molecule: ribosomal RNA, 497 nt
Filed under: uncultured bacterium
Lineage: Bacteria
Description: partial 16S ribosomal RNA
Rfam family: Bacterial small subunit ribosomal RNA
Source: RNAcentral